Molecule: ribosomal RNA, 253 nt
Filed under: uncultured bacterium
Lineage: Bacteria
Description: partial 16S ribosomal RNA
Rfam family: Bacterial small subunit ribosomal RNA
Source: RNAcentral
UACGGAGGGUGCAAGCGUUAUCCGGAUUCACUGGGUUUAAAGGGUGCGUAGGUGGGUUGGUAAGUCAGUGGUGAAAUCUCCGUGCUUAACAUGGAAACUGCCAUUGAUACUACUGAUCUUGAAUUUUCAGGAGGUAAGCGGAAUAUGCCAUGUAGCGGUGAAAUGCUUAGAUAUGACAUAGAACACCAAUUGCGAAGGCAGCUUACUACAGGAAUAUUGACACUGAUGCACGAAAGCGUGGGGAUCAAACAGG